CCCUUAGAUGUUCUGGCCCGCACGCGCGCUACACUGACGGAGGCAGCGAGCGUGUCCUUCGCCGGCAGGUGCGGGCAAUCUUGCGAGUCUCCGUCGUGCUGGGGAUAGAUGGUUGCAAUUGUCGAUCUUGAACGAGGAAUUCCUAGUAAGCGCGAGUCAUCAGCUCGCGCUGAUUACGUCCCUGCCCUUUGUACACACCGCCCGUCGCUACUACAGAGUGCCCGUGUCCAAGAAACGGUCGGACCUGUGCGGCCUCUCCGGGCGACCGGAGGGCCGUUACGGGGAAGACCCUUUAUUUGACGCGGGUCGAUGAAGUAAAAGUCGUAACA
This 329-nucleotide ribosomal RNA is filed under the name uncultured eukaryote. RNAcentral's name for it is "partial 18S ribosomal RNA". It matches the Rfam family "Eukaryotic small subunit ribosomal RNA", at positions 1470 to 1796 of the family's 1831-position model. The record is from RNAcentral.